CCUACGGGUGGCAGCAGUGAGGAAUAUUGGUCAAUGGUCGCGAGCCUGAACCAGCCAAGUCGCGUGAAGGAUGACUGCCCUGCGUGUUGUAAACUUCUUUUAUCAGGGAAUAAAGUCAGGCACGUGUCCCUUUUUGUGUGUACUUUAUGAAUAAGCAUCGGCUAACUCCGUGCCAGCAGCCGCGGUAAUACGGAGGAUCCGAGCGUUAUCCGGAUUUAUUGGGUUUAAAGGGUGCGUAGAUGGGUUGUUAAGUCAGUUGUGAAAGUUUGCGGCUCAACCGUAAAAUUGCAAUUGAUACUGGCAGUCUUGAGUACAGUUGAGGUAGGCGGAAUUCGCGGUGUAGCGGUGAAAUGCUUAGAUAUCACGAAGAACUCCGAUUGCGAAGGCAGCAUACUAACCUGCCACUGACACUGAUGCACGAAAGUGUGGGUAUCAAACAGGAUUAGAUACCCGGGUAGUC
RNAcentral lists this ribosomal RNA (460 nucleotides) under uncultured bacterium. Its description in RNAcentral is "partial 16S ribosomal RNA". It matches the Rfam family "Bacterial small subunit ribosomal RNA", at positions 338 to 795 of the family's 1533-position model. The record is from RNAcentral.